This is a long non-coding RNA of Manduca sexta (tobacco hornworm), 418 nucleotides long. RefSeq lists it as uncharacterized. The record is from RefSeq and is a predicted model, not a curated record. Lineage: Eukaryota; Metazoa; Arthropoda; Insecta; Lepidoptera; Sphingidae. The transcript is spliced from 2 exons.
UUUUCUUGGCGCUCUGUUUCGAUCAAAUGUUACCUGCGGUACCAUAUUUUUUAGGCGAAAAAGUGUUUAUUUACAAUGUGUAGGACUGCAAAUAGGUGUUUGAAAGUGUUUAUUUGGAUUUAGUUUUAUGCAGGACAUUUUAUUUAUAAGAAUAACCUAUAGGAAAUGUGAAAUAUGUGGUUUGAGAUCGGAGCGUAAAGAUGGCAUAAAACAUUAUUUUAUGGCUAGAUUUCCUCUAGAUGAACUUCGGUGUAAAGAAUGGGUAAAAAUGGCAGAAAUGAGAAUCUAGCUUAUUUGCCUAUUGAAAAACUUCAUCAAUGAAAAUUCGUUUGUGGAAAGCAUAUAAAAAUAACGAUUUAAAGAAAAAAGGAACACAGCUGAAGAUGUUACGUUUGACUGAAUAAAAAUUAUAAUUGUA